ACCAUACAUACAAGAGAGAUAGUGAAUUCUUAAUGCUAUAGGCAGGGGAUCUCACACCCGUGGCCAAUCAACAACUAAGCCUAUUUACUGUCAAAAACAAAAUCGCUAACAAAUCAACCUUUUGGGCAAAAAACAUCACCAACAGAAGAGCCUUUAAGAGCA
Molecule: long non-coding RNA, 162 nt
Organism: Alosa sapidissima (American shad)
Lineage: Eukaryota; Metazoa; Chordata; Actinopteri; Clupeiformes; Clupeidae
Exons: 3
Source: RefSeq, a predicted model, not a curated record